RNAcentral lists this ribosomal RNA (413 nucleotides) under uncultured bacterium. RNAcentral's name for it is "bacterial SSU rRNA". It matches the Rfam family "Bacterial small subunit ribosomal RNA", at positions 357 to 767 of the family's 1533-position model. The record is from RNAcentral.
AGGAAUAUUGGUCAAUGGACGCAAGUCUGAACCAGCCAUGCCGCGUGGAGGCUGAAGGUCCUCUGGAUUGUAAACUUCUUUUAUCUGGGACGAAACACUUCUUUUCUAAGAGGCCUGACGGUACCAGAUGAAUAAGCACCGGCUAACUCCGUGCCAGCAGCCGCGGUAAUACGGAGGGUGCAAGCGUUAUCCGGAUUCACUGGGUUUAAAGGGUGCGUAGGUGGGUAUGUAAGUCAGUGGUGAAAUCCCCGAGCUUAACUUGGGAACUGCCAUUGAUACUAAAGGUCUUGAAUUAUCUGGAUGUAAGCGGAAUAUGUCAUGUAGCGGUAAAAUGCUUAGAUAUGGCAUAGAACACCAAUGGCGAAGGCAGCUUACUACAUAUAAAUGGACGCUGAGGCACGAAAGCGUGGGGA